RNAcentral lists this long non-coding RNA (1631 nucleotides) under Lupinus angustifolius (narrow-leaved blue lupine). RNAcentral's name for it is "long non-coding RNA (LANG_LNC002862)". The record is from RNAcentral. Lineage: Eukaryota; Viridiplantae; Streptophyta; Magnoliopsida; Fabales; Fabaceae.
UGCCAGUUUUUUAAUUCAAUAGAAUGUUGUGGAGUUAACCACUUCGAUGCAAUCUUUUAUAGAUUCAGAUUUUGGUUGACAAUGUGAACUUCCUCCUGGUUUUCAAAAUAACCUCAAGAACAUGUCCAGUGUAAAUGCCAAAUUUUGAAAAUCCUCCACAGAUCUAUAUGGUUGGUAACGACAUUGGUUCAAAUAUUGCUGCCAGUCUGAAUUUACUUCUGAUUGUUUAUUAGAAUUUGCUGGUUGUAAAUAUGUGCAGAAAUGCCUGGCGUAGUCAGCUUCACUGAUUUCCAGAAAAUGUUAUUGCUAUGAAGUCCAGCGUGAAAUGUCUGGAGGUAUAGUAAAUGUCUCUGUUUCAGAGGAACAGCAUAUUGAUGACAGUCCAAUUAAGCAUACCUGCUGGACAAAUCCAUGGUGAAUUGUCAGAUACUAGUCAUGAAGGGGUCACAAUUAGUGUAGUUGAUAGUACACAUGGAAAUGUCAGGUGCAACAAUUGUACUGGCCAUCCAGAGAAUGUAACUCCUUUGAAUUCAUCGUCCAUAACCAAUCAUCUAACAGUGUUUUAUCAUCAAGGCCUCCCUGGGCUUGUCUGGACGACAUAAAUAAGGAGAGGCUUUAUUAAAAAAAUUUCCAUUUUGAAGAUAACCAUUGCAUUCCCUAUAUAUGCUUAUUGUUACUACCUUGAUGAAACAUUGUAAAAUAAGGGGUUACUAACUUGUCUCUCUGUUAUAUUUGCAUAUUUGAGCUGCAUUACCGUUCAGACAUUUUCCUGAGAUAUUUGGGCUGUCUAAAUUUAGGGAUUACUAUAAAAUUAUAGUUAGAUUUUAUUGUUAUAUAAAUCAUGUUAACAGGUUAGAUCUGCACUGUCUAUUGUUACGAAGGAGCAGGAGCUUAGUGCAGCACACAAUCUCAAUCAUGUCUAAAUGCAUCUUCCUUUGAGUGCAAGGUUAAUGAGUUUACUUAUGGUAUUCAUCUGUCACCUUUGGUAAUACAUAAAGUUUAUGUGUUGGUUUUGGUAUCGGAUACUAGAUGGUUAGCUAUAUCUGGAGGCUCAAUGCCUUUUUAAAGAGCCAACAGUCUCAAGUGAAGAAACGGAACUUAAUCUUUAGUGCUCUGCUCCAGAUGAAGAAGUUAUGAUUAUUCUGCUAUUGAAUAUCCUUUAAAAAAUACAUGGAUUCACGUCUGAUCCACAUAUGUUUGUUCUAUCUAUAUCUGUUUAGUUCUUUGGCUUGAUAACUAGGUUGCAUUAUGUUGCCUUUCUUUUCUUAUAGGGGUUAUAACAUUUCUGAUAAAAAGUGAGAAUCGGUUCACCAAUGAUAUGGUGACAAAGGUUUGUGACUUUGAAUACUAUUAUUAUGGACUAUUUGAGUAGAGUUUCAAUGAGCUAUCAUUGGCUCUUCAAUGAACAAUUUUGUUAUGAUUUGUAUAUCAUUGUCAGGCAAUAGAAAAAAUUAUAGCAGCAAAUAACAAGUCAUCACAAGACGGUUAAGUGAUUCUUAACUCAACUUCAUGAGCGUUAAAACUUUCUCUUUUAUUGUCCUAACUAGCUCCUUUUCAUUCCCUUUUUGUGUAAAUACAGAUUGUAAUCAGUUGAGUAAACUGUAAAUCCAUCUGUACAUAUGAAACGGAAG